RNAcentral lists this ribosomal RNA (274 nucleotides) under uncultured bacterium. RNAcentral's name for it is "partial 16S ribosomal RNA". It matches the Rfam family "Bacterial small subunit ribosomal RNA", at positions 523 to 796 of the family's 1533-position model. The record is from RNAcentral.
AUACGGAGGGUGCGAGCGUUAAUCGGAAUUACUGGGCGUAAAGGGUGCGUAGGCGGCUUGAUAAGUCGGAUGUGAAAGCCCCGGGCUUAACCUGGGAAUUGCAUUCGAUACUGGCAGGCUAGAGUAUGUCAGAGGUUGGCGGAAUUCCUGGUGUAGCGGUGAAAUGCGUAGAUAUCAGGAGGAACACCAGUGGCGAAGGCGGCUAACUGGGACAAUACUGACGCUGAGGCACGAAAGCGUGGGGAGCAAACAGGAUUAGAUACCCCAGUAGUCC